This 645-nucleotide long non-coding RNA is filed under the name Anas platyrhynchos platyrhynchos (common mallard). RNAcentral describes it as "lncRNA (ENSAPLG00000029507.1)". Lineage: Eukaryota; Metazoa; Chordata; Aves; Anseriformes; Anatidae. The record is from RNAcentral.
CCCCCCCGAAACCGAGGGGGGGCCCUCACCGCGCCCCGGCGUCUCCGCUGCUCCGUUUUGGGGCCGAUUCCGCCAAUUUGCGCCGAUUUUCGGUCAGCUUCACCACGCUCCGGCUCGCCUCCCGUUUUUUAACUCUGCCUCCGCCGUCUUCUACUUCCUCUCUUUUUCUUCUAUUUCCUCUAUUUUCGCCUUUUUCUCCUCUUCUAGGCUCCUAUUUCCUCCUCUCUUCACCAAUUUCCUCUGGUUUUCUUCCUCAGUUUCUCUCCUCUCCAUCCUCCAGCGCCUCUUCUCCUCUUCUAGCUCCUUUUUUUUCCCGUUUUCCUCAAUUUCACCAAUUUCCACUGGCUGCUCCUAGUUUCUCCUCUUUUUUUUUAUUUUUCUCUUUUUUUUCCUAUUUUCUCCUCAAACGUUUAAAUGCAAUUUUCUGCCUUUUUUUUCCUUGUAUUUUCUUGUUCUAUUUUCCCCUUUUUCUAUUUUCUUUUUUUUCUAUGUUCUAUUUUCCUUUUCUAGUCUCUUCUAUUUUCUUUUCUUCUCUAUUUUCUAUUUUUUUCAUUUUCUUUUUUCUAUUUUCUUUUUUUUUUCUAUUUUCUUUUUUUCUAUUUUCUGACCUCUUCUUUUUUUUCUAAUUUUCUUUUUUUUCUAUUU